AUGCUCGCCCGGAAGAUCAGCUCGGAAACGCGGCAAGAUCGCCGCAUUAAAGCAAAGGCUGCAAAGGAGGAGAACUUGAAGAAGCGUCUGUCCGCCGGUGGGCUUGGUGAUGGCGAUGGGCGUGGUGGACGUGGCCGACGGGGCGGUCAGCGAGGCCGUGGCGGACGCCGCCAGAUGGGCGCGCCCACAUUACAGGCGACGCUGUGGCCAGAGCUUUACGAGCCUCUGUACUACUACACCACCAAAGGCAUCUCCAAGUAUUGCGGGCACUUGAAGCAUCUCAUCACACGGUGGCCUAGCGGUGCACAAAUUACCGAGAAACCUACUCAUGCUUGUGUGGUGUACAAGAAGUUGGAUAAGAUGUCCUUCACUAUCAUGCAUUGUUGGUUGAAGUUGAAUGGGCAAACAAAGUGGAACCUUUUCAUUGCCAAGACCGCCGCUCAAGCCAAAGAGGAAGAAACCGACGGCCCUACCGACCCAGCCCAAGAACCGCCGAAGAAGGUUAGAAGGAAAGCGGAGAGGUUCAAGUAA
RNAcentral lists this ribosomal RNA (531 nucleotides) under Triticum aestivum (bread wheat). RNAcentral's name for it is "partial small subunit ribosomal RNA". Lineage: Eukaryota; Viridiplantae; Streptophyta; Magnoliopsida; Poales; Poaceae. The record is from RNAcentral.